UAGUUAAAACUUUCAACAACGGAUCUCUUGGUUCUGGCAUCGAUGAAGAACGCAGCGAAAUGCGAUAAGUAAUGUGAAUGCAGNAAUUCAGUGAAUCAUCGAAUCUUGAACGCACAUUGCGCCCCUUGGUAUUCCGGNGGGCAUGCCUGUUCGAGCGUCAUUACAACCCUCAAGCUCUGCUUGGUGUUGGGCGUCACCAGCCUUGGUGUGCCCUANAAUCAGUGGCGGCGCCGUCUGGCUCUAAGCGUAGUACAUACUCUCGCUAUGGACGCCUGGCGGAUGCUUGCCAGCAAACCCCUAAUUUAUCAAGGUUGACCUCGGAUCAGGUAGGGAUACCCGCUGAACUUAAGCAUAUCAAUAAGCGGAGGAAAAGAAACCAACAGGGAUUACCUCAGUAACGGCGAGUGAAGCGGUAACAGCUCAAAUUUGAAAUCUGGGUCUUUCAGGCUCCGAGUUGUAAUUUGUAGAAGAUGCUUCGGGUGCGGCUCCGGUCUAAGUUCCUUGGAACAGGACGUCACAGAGGGUGAGAAUCCCGUAUGUGAUCGGUUGCUUGCGCCCAUGUGAAGCUCUUUCGACGAGUCGAGUUGUUUGGGAAUGCAGCUCUAAAUGGGUGGUAAAUUUCAUCUAAAGCUAAAUAUUGGCCAGAGACCGAUAGCGCACAAGUAGAGUGAUCGAAAGAUGAAAAGCACUUUGGAAAGAGAGUUAAACAGUACGUGAAAUUGUUGAAAGGGAAGCGCUUGCAACCAGACUUGCGCGUUGUCGAUCAUCCGAGGUUCUCCUCGGUGCACUCGAUCUCGCUCAGGCCAGCAUCGGUUUCAGUGGUUAGAUAAAGGCCUUGGGAAUGUAGCUUCUUUCGGGGAGUGUUAUAGCCCUCGGUGCAAUGUAGCCUACUGGGACCGAGGACCGCGCUGGGCUAGGAUGCUGGCGUAAUGGUUGUAAGCGACCCGUCUUGAAACACGGACCAAGGAGUCUAACAUCUAUGCGAGUGUUUGGGUGCCAAACCCAUACGCGUAAUGAAAGUGAACGGAGGUGAGAACCCUUAAGGGUGCAUCAUCGACCGAUCCUGAUGUCUUCGGAUGGAUUUGAGUAAGAGCAUAGCUGUUGGGACCCGAAAGAUGGUGAACUAUGCCUGAAUAGGGUGAAGCCAGAGGAAACUCUGGUGGAGGCUCGCAGCGGUUCUGACGUGCAAAUCGAUCGUCAAAUUUGGGUAUA
This 1212-nucleotide ribosomal RNA is filed under the name ericoid mycorrhizal sp. PPO-7. RNAcentral's name for it is "eukaryotic LSU rRNA". The stretch from base 313 to 1212 matches the Rfam family "Eukaryotic large subunit ribosomal RNA", at positions 1 to 919 of the family's 3401-position model. Lineage: Eukaryota; Fungi; Ascomycota; Leotiomycetes; Helotiales. The record is from RNAcentral.